RNAcentral lists this ribosomal RNA (510 nucleotides) under uncultured bacterium. RNAcentral describes it as "partial 16S ribosomal RNA". It matches the Rfam family "Bacterial small subunit ribosomal RNA", at positions 28 to 507 of the family's 1533-position model. The record is from RNAcentral.
GACGAACGCUGGCGGCGUGCUUAACACAUGCAAGUCGAACGAAGAGCGAUGGAAGCUUGCUUCUAUCAAUCUUAGUGGCGAACGGGUGAGUAACGCGUAAUCAACCUGCCCUUCAGGGGGGGACAACAGUUGGAAACGACUGCUAAUACCGCAUACGAUCUAAUCUCGGCAUCGAGGAUAGAUGAAAGGUGGCCUCUACAUGUAAGCUAUCACUGAAGGAGGGGAUUGCGUCUGAUUAGCUAGUUGGAGGGGUAACGGCCCACCAAGGCGAUGAUCAGUAGCCGGUCUGAGAGGAUGAACGGCCACAUUGGGACUGAGACACGGCCCAGACUCCUACGGGAGGCAGCAGUGGGGAAUCUUCCGCAAUGGACGAAAGUCUGACGGAGCAACGCCGCGUGAGCGAUGACGGCCUUCGGGUUGUAAAGCUCUGUUAAUCGGGACGAAAGGCCUUCUUGCGAAUAGUGAGAAGGAUUGACGGUACCGGAAUAGAAAGCCACGGCUAACUACGUG